CUCCAGCUGCCACUAGAGGGCACAGCCAGGACAUAUGACAGCUGUGUCUCCUCAUCAAGGCAAAAGUCAGAAGCAGCCUGAAGAGAGGCCUGACUGAAGAGCUAAGAGUCAUGAGUUCAAAUGUUGGAUCUGCCUUGUACUUGUGGUGAGACCAUAAAGCGACUGACUUCUCUAAGCCUGAUUCUUCACUUGCAAAAGGUCUGGAUUAAAAGAUAAAAAUCCAUCUCAAGCUUUCCAGAUAGCAAGAGGCCCAUUUGUCUGAGCUGCCUGGAGUCAUUUUAACAGCAGUGUCUCCAAUCACUAGUCUGAGCAGCCCUUCACACGCUUCUGCUACCAGAUGUAGACUUGCCUCAGACCUGAACUAUCUGGUGUGCUGUGCGUCCUCAGGGCCCCACUGCCUCUGAAAAGGAAUUUAACUGCAGAGAGUAAUAAAUACUUGCCAACAGCCUACCAUUGGAGAGCACAUCAGAGGUAACUUGGGCCCAGAUGCUACUAAUCAAUUCCAGCCAAGUUUUACACGAAUCUACUCAUGAUUUCAGAAAACCAAGCCAUCCAGAAACGCCUACAAAUACAUCAGAGUUGGCAAACCCAAGCAUGAGUCCAACCCCUGGACGCACAGCAGCCUCAGGUUCAAAGCCGAAGCACUAAGGGGCUCAUCCUGACAGAUGCGGGUUGAGCUCACAGCAUAUGGUUCACAUCACUGCCCCUCUGAUGAGAGCAUCCAGGUUUGGAUCACAUCUGUUUCAUUGGA
This is a long non-coding RNA of Fukomys damarensis (Damara mole-rat), 751 nucleotides long. RefSeq lists it as uncharacterized. The record is from RefSeq and is a predicted model, not a curated record. Lineage: Eukaryota; Metazoa; Chordata; Mammalia; Rodentia; Bathyergidae. The transcript has 7 exons.